CAUCUCUUGAUGUGACUCUUUGUCAUGAUGUCAUUUAAUAAUGACUUAUAUUUCACAUUUCCUUCAUAAUGAGUACAGACUUUAAAAACACUUAAAUGGAUUCAAUCACAUGUAGUGACAUUAUAUUAUAUGUUUCAAUCAAGGUUCAACAUGAACCGCAAAUGUCACAAACACGUUGUUAAGUCUUAUUUUUUAAUUCUAAAUGGAUUUUAAGUGUUAUUGUUAUGCCGAAUAUGUGUUUGUUAUUCCGGAUCAGUUUAAUUUCGCUUCGAAGAGGCCAUGUUUAUUUACUUCAUUGGUUGAGUUUUUUUCUGGAAGGUCUUUCAGCUACAAUUUAAAAUAGAUUAUAAUAAUAAAAUUGUCUGCUUCGCAAGUUGCGGUGGUACGAAAAAAUUUAUGGUGCUCCUCAGCUUUGGGCGCUUUUGGCGAAUACUGUGGUGAGCUGGUUCGAGAGUUUCCCGGCCGGUCAAUAAACUCUACUGAACUGCACACUAAUUGGGCAAAAUGUUUAAAAAAGUGGCCAUUCACAAGGAGACGAUGCAGCAGCACUUUUGGGGCGAUAAACGGCUCAGGUGGAUGAAUUAUAGAAGAAGCUAAAUUACGGCAUGCAUGAACAUUGGUUUGGUAUUCCGUGUUAAAACUCAAUUGAUAGGAUAAGUGGAAUUGUGGAUGCACGUUUUAUGUUUUUUCAAUA
Molecule: long non-coding RNA, 694 nt
Organism: Armigeres subalbatus
Lineage: Eukaryota; Metazoa; Arthropoda; Insecta; Diptera; Culicidae
Exons: 3
Source: RefSeq, a predicted model, not a curated record